Blyttiomyces helicus is the source of this 72-nucleotide non-coding RNA. The record is from the annotation of a GenBank genome assembly. Lineage: Eukaryota; Fungi; Chytridiomycota; Chytridiomycetes.
GCUCGCAUGGUCUAGUGGUAUGACGUCUCCUUCACACGGAUAAGGUCCUCAGUUCGAUCCUGAGUGCGAGCA